This 402-nucleotide long non-coding RNA is filed under the name Amborella trichopoda. Its description in RNAcentral is "long non-coding RNA (ATRI_LNC003087)". Lineage: Eukaryota; Viridiplantae; Streptophyta; Magnoliopsida; Amborellales; Amborellaceae. The record is from RNAcentral.
AAUAAUUCUCCAGUAAUUGAAGUAUUGAUCACAAAAAUAGUAGUUUUAGUUCAGUGGAGCGAUUGAUUGCUAUUAUUCAACCGGAAUCACUAUUGUAAAAAGCCAUAUUCAAACAUCUUCAUGGGCUGUAUCCACAGGCAUAGUGCUUGAGAUUACCAAAUGGAGUGGCAUAUAAAGAUGAUCACAUAGAAAGAUACAUCUAUCAACUACCAAUUUUACUUUUUUAUGGGUGGUAUCUCAUUGAUUGUUAACCCUCCAUUGGAUUUAAGAUGAACAGGUACCGAGGGACCUCUGAUGUGAACUGUGGAUGUGGGGAUGUAUGUGGAUUAUCCUCAUGGAUCUAAUCUUGUUCAUUUGCCUGUAGAUCUGAGAGCAAUGUUUAAAUGCAGCUUCAUAUUUAUU